UUAUAUUUUAGUAUAAGAUGUAUAAGAAUUUUUGAUAUUCUAGGAAAUAGUUUGAUUCUGUUAAAUAUAAU
Molecule: transfer RNA, 71 nt
Filed under: Opatrum subaratum
Lineage: Eukaryota; Metazoa; Arthropoda; Insecta; Coleoptera; Tenebrionidae
Description: tRNA-Gln
Source: RNAcentral